This 392-nucleotide ribosomal RNA is filed under the name uncultured bacterium. Its description in RNAcentral is "partial 16S ribosomal RNA". It matches the Rfam family "Bacterial small subunit ribosomal RNA", at positions 523 to 918 of the family's 1533-position model. The record is from RNAcentral.
AUACGGAGGAUCCGAGCGUUAUCCGGAUUUAUUGGGUUUAAAGGGUGCGCAGGCGGCCAUUUAAGUCAGCGGUUAAAUCGUGGGGCUCAACCCCAUUCUGCCGUUGAUACUGGGUGGCUUGAUUGCGGUCGAGGUUGGCGGAAUUCGUUGUGUAGCGGUGAAAUUCAUAGAUAUGACGAAGAACACCGAUUGCGUAUGCAGCUGACCAUAUCGCAAAUGACGCUCAUGCACGAAAGUUAGGUGAUCAAACAGGUUUAGAUACCCUGUUAGUACACCCAGUAAACGAGUAAGACUAGCCUUCGGCGAUACACCGCCGUUGGCCAAGCGAAAGCGAUAAGUCAUCCACCUGGGGAGUUCGACCGCAAGGUUGAAACUCUAAUGAAUUGGCGGGG